UACGGAGGGGGCGAGCGUCGUUCGGAAUUAUUGGGCGUAAAGAGUAUGUAGGCGGUCAAGUAAGUCAGGCGUGUAAGCCCUCGGCUCAACCGAGGAAUUGCGUUUGAAACUGCUCGACUUGAGUACGAAAGAGGAAAGCGGAAUUCCCAGUGUAGCGGUGAAAUGCAUUGAUAUUGGGAAGAACAUCGGUGGCGAAGGCGGCUUUCUGGUUCGAUACUGACGCUGAGGUACGAAAGUGUGGGGAGCAAACAGG
This 253-nucleotide ribosomal RNA is filed under the name uncultured bacterium. Its description in RNAcentral is "partial 16S ribosomal RNA". It matches the Rfam family "Bacterial small subunit ribosomal RNA", at positions 524 to 776 of the family's 1533-position model. The record is from RNAcentral.